GUAAAUAUUAGGCUUUCCUUUAUAUAACCUGUAUUUAAAAUGGGUCUCUUUUACGUAACCUUUUUAUUUCUAAGUUCUUGCCAGUCCUCUAUUUUCUCUUUUAUGUAAUCUGUAUUUAUUUUGAAUCUCUUUUACGUAACCUCUCUCACAUAUCUACAGUUUAAUCCUUUAAGCUGUUUUUAAAGCCUCUCAGUAAGGUAAUAAUUCCCCCUUAUAUACAGUGGAAGCUUAUAGUUAUCUCCCCUAUAGUGAGGUUAUAUAAUUCUUUAUUUCAUUGUUUAUAUUCUGGGUUAAUUAUUUGGUCUACACUCAGGUUAAUUAAUAUACGCUCAGGUUAAUUGGUCUACACUCAGGUUAAUUAAUAUACGCUCAGGUUAAGUG
This is a long non-coding RNA of Homarus americanus (American lobster), 381 nucleotides long. RefSeq lists it as uncharacterized. The transcript has 3 exons. The record is from RefSeq and is a predicted model, not a curated record. NCBI's taxonomy places the organism in Eukaryota, Metazoa, Arthropoda, Malacostraca, Decapoda, Nephropidae.